This 440-nucleotide ribosomal RNA is filed under the name uncultured bacterium. RNAcentral's name for it is "partial 16S ribosomal RNA". It matches the Rfam family "Bacterial small subunit ribosomal RNA", at positions 338 to 795 of the family's 1533-position model. The record is from RNAcentral.
CCUACGGGUGGCAGCAGUGGGGAAUAUUGCACAAUGGGGGAAACCCUGAUGCAGCGACGCCGCGUGCGUGAAGAAGUAUUUCGGUACGUAAAGCUCUAUCAGCAGGGAAGAAAAUGACGGUACCUGACUAAGAAGCCCCGGCUAACUACGUGCCAGCAGCCGCGGUAAUACGUGGGGGGCAAGCGUUAUCCGGAUUUACUGGGUGUAAAGGGAGCGUAGGCGGCAGUGCAAGUCUGGAGUGAAAGCCCAUGGCUUAACCAUGGAACUGCUUGGGAAACUGUGCAGCUGGAGUGCAGGAGAGGUAAGCGGAAUUCCUAGUGUAGCGGUGAAAUGCGUAGAGAUCAUGAAGAACACCGAUGGCGAAGGCAGCUUACCAGGCUACGACUGACGUUGAGGCACGAAAGCGUGGGGAGCAAACAGGAUUAGAUACCCCAGUAGUC